Molecule: long non-coding RNA, 581 nt
Filed under: Homo sapiens (human)
Lineage: Eukaryota; Metazoa; Chordata; Mammalia; Primates; Hominidae
Description: non-protein coding lnc-PASK-4:3
Source: RNAcentral
GGAGCGUCCCGGCUUCUCCCGCGCGGGGGGCGAGUAAGCCAGCGGCAGGACCAGCGGGCGGGGGCCCACGAACACAUGCCUCACUCCUGUCAGCAGUUCCACCUUUUCAUGGUUGAGGAGCACAUGUGGUCGCCAGCCUCCCAUCUCCAGAGUCCCCUAAGGCAAGGUGACUCACCCUCCUACUUCACAGAGUUCUUGGUCCUCCCCAGACAGCCUUUGAAGGUUCCUUUCAAUCCUGCGAUUUCAUGACCUGGUUUCUAGAUCCCCAGUGGAUUAGAAAGGACUGAAGGACUUUUACAGGCUAACAGCAAGAAGAACAAAGUAACUGCAAAAUAGACGGAGAAUUCUUGAAGACGGUAGCUCUUGGUCACCAUAAGCGCUGCAGAGACCCCGAGGUCCACAUUCUGUUGUAGGUCAGAGCCCAGCACAACAACCCUUCUUCUGGUUCAGCCGCCCAGCGGUUAUGUGGGGUACGGGAAAGAUGAUCCAGCCAUGCAGGAGAGCACCAGUGGUUCUGUGAGGAUUUUACUUCAAAAUACAAAAGCUGGCAGGCUGACAGAGGCGGCCUCAGGACGGACCUU